This 213-nucleotide unclassified non-coding RNA is filed under the name Hevea brasiliensis (rubber tree). The record is from RNAcentral. Lineage: Eukaryota; Viridiplantae; Streptophyta; Magnoliopsida; Malpighiales; Euphorbiaceae.
GUUGGUUUUGCUCAAAACAAUCUCAGUGGAUCCCUUCCAAGAGAAGUAGAAAAUUUGAAAAACCUGGGUAUCUUAGAUGUCUCUGACAACAUGUUAUCAGGUGAGAUACCGAGCAGUCUUGGGAGCUGUACAAGUCUAGAGUAUCUAUACAUGCAGGGGAACCAAUUCCAAGGGCCCAUUCCUUUAUCUCUGAGUUCAUUGAGAGGUCUUCAA